Non-coding RNA from Pseudomonas fluorescens, 52 nucleotides. NCBI's taxonomy places the organism in Bacteria, Pseudomonadati, Pseudomonadota, Gammaproteobacteria, Pseudomonadales, Pseudomonadaceae. The record is from Rfam.
CUAUUGUCUUCCUGCCACUGCCCAUCAGUGGUCGGGUUUAGUAGCCCGAGGU